CAGUAGGGAUCUUCCGCAUGGACGAAAGUCUGACGGAGCAACGCCGCGUGAGUGAAGAAGGUUUUCGGAUCGUAAAACUCUGUUGUUAAAGAAGAACAAGGAUGAGAGUAACUGCUCAUCCCCUGACGGUAUUUAACCAGAAAGCCACGGCUAACUACGUGCCAGCAGCCGCGGUAAUACGUAGGUGGCAAGCGUUGUCCGGAUUUAUUGGGCGUAAAGCGAGCGCAGGCGGUUCUUUAAGUCUGAUGUGAAAGCCCCCGGCUCAACCGGGGAGGGUCAUUGGAAACUGGAGAACUUGAGUGCAGAAGAGGAGAGUGGAAUUCCACGUGUAGCGGUGAAAUGCGUAGAUAUGUGGAGGAACACCAGUGGCGAAGGCGACUCUCUGGUCUGUAACUGACGCUGAGGCUCGAAAGCGUGGGGAGCAAACAGGAUUAGAUACCCUGGUAGUCCACGCCGUAAACGAUGAGUGCUAAGUGUUGGAGGGUUUCCGCCCUUCAGUGCUGCAGCUAACGCAUUAAGCACUCCGCCUGGGGAGUACGGCCGCAAGGCUGAAACUCAAAGGAAUUGACGGGGGCCC
This 577-nucleotide ribosomal RNA is filed under the name Carnobacterium sp. Its description in RNAcentral is "bacterial SSU rRNA". It matches the Rfam family "Bacterial small subunit ribosomal RNA", at positions 352 to 922 of the family's 1533-position model. Lineage: Bacteria; Bacillati; Bacillota; Bacilli; Lactobacillales; Carnobacteriaceae. The record is from RNAcentral.